RNAcentral lists this ribosomal RNA (467 nucleotides) under uncultured bacterium. Its description in RNAcentral is "partial 16S ribosomal RNA". It matches the Rfam family "Bacterial small subunit ribosomal RNA", at positions 28 to 507 of the family's 1533-position model. The record is from RNAcentral.
GAUGAACGCUGGCGGCGUGCUUAACACAUGCAAGUCGAACGGAAAGGCUCCUGCUUGCAGGGGUACUCGAGUGGCGAACGGGUGAGUAACACGUGGGUGAUCUGCCCUGCACUUCGGGAUAAGCCUGGGAAACUGGGUCUAAUACCGGAUAGGACCACAUUUUGGAUGGUGUGGUGGAAAGUUUUUCGGUGUGGGAUGAGCUCGCGGCCUAUCAGCUUGUUGGUGGGGUAAUGGCCUACCAAGGCGUCGACGGGUAGCCGGCCUGAGAGGGUGUACGGCCACAUUGUGACUGGGAUACGGCCCAGACUCCUACGGGAGGCAGCAGUGGGGAAUAUUGCACAAUGGGCGCAAGCCUGAUGCAGCGACGCCGCGUGGGGGAUGACGGCCUUCGGGUUGUAAACUCCUUUCGCUAGGGACGAAGCGUUUUUGUGACGGUACCUGGAGAAGAAGCACCGGCUAACUACGUG